AGUAAGGAAUAUUGGUCAAUGGACGCAAGUCUGAACCAGCCAUGCCGCGUGGAGGAUGAAGGUCCUCUGGAUUGUAAACUUCUUUUAUUUGGGAAGAAACCCACGAUUUCUAUUGUGGUUGACGGUACCAGAUGAAUAAGCACCGGCUAACUCCGUGCCAGCAGCCGCGGUAAUACGGAGGGUGCAAGCGUUAUCCGGAUUCACUGGGUUUAAAGGGUGCGUAGGCGGGCAGGUAAGUCAGUGGUGAAAUCUCCGGGCUUAACCCGGAAACUGCCGUUGAUACUAUCUGUCUUGAAUAUCGUGGAGGUGAGCGGAAUAUGUCAUGUAGCGGUGAAAUGCUUAGAUAUGACAUAGAACACCCAUUGCGAAGGCAGCUCGCUACACGGUUAUUGACGCUGAGGCACGAAAGCGUGGGGAUCAAA
This 422-nucleotide ribosomal RNA is filed under the name uncultured Chitinophagaceae bacterium. RNAcentral describes it as "bacterial SSU rRNA". It matches the Rfam family "Bacterial small subunit ribosomal RNA", at positions 353 to 772 of the family's 1533-position model. Lineage: Bacteria; Pseudomonadati; Bacteroidota; Chitinophagia; Chitinophagales; Chitinophagaceae. The record is from RNAcentral.